RNAcentral lists this ribosomal RNA (482 nucleotides) under uncultured bacterium. RNAcentral's name for it is "partial 16S ribosomal RNA". It matches the Rfam family "Bacterial small subunit ribosomal RNA", at positions 28 to 507 of the family's 1533-position model. The record is from RNAcentral.
GACGAACGCUGGCGGCGUGCUUAACACAUGCAAGUCGUACGAUGAAGAAGAGAAACGCGAGCUUCGGUUCAAAUUUCACUUCGGAUUAGUGGCAGACGGGUGAGUAACUCGUGAGCAACCUACCUCUUACAAAGGGAUAGCCUCGGGAAACCGUGAUUAAUACCAUAUGACACAUUCAUAAGGCAUCUUAAGAAUGUUAAAGCUGCGGCGGUAAGAGAUGGGCUCGCGUCCCAUUAGCUAGUUGGGGAGGUAACGGCCCACCAAGGCGACGAUGUGUAACCGGGCUGAGAGGGUGAACGGUGACAUUGGAAAUGAGGCACGGUCAAAACUCCUACGGGAGGGAGCAGUGGGGAAUAUUGCACGAUGGAGGGAACUCUGAUGCAGCGACGCCGCGUGAGCGAUGAAGGAAUUCGUUUAGUAAAGCUCUGUUCUAUGGGAAGAAAAGGACUGUACCAUAGGAGAAAGCCCCGGCUAAAUACGUG